This 913-nucleotide long non-coding RNA is filed under the name Medicago truncatula (barrel medic). RNAcentral describes it as "long non-coding RNA (MTRU_LNC006312)". Lineage: Eukaryota; Viridiplantae; Streptophyta; Magnoliopsida; Fabales; Fabaceae. The record is from RNAcentral.
AAAGUUAUUCAAUGUGACAGUGGAGGUGAGUUUAAACCUGUACAAAAAGUGGCACUUGAAACAGGAAUUCAAUUUAGGAUGUCAUGUCCUUACACCUCCAAACAAAAUGGUAGAGCUAAAAGGAAACAUAGACAUGUAGCUGAGUUAGGCCUAACCUUGCUAGCUCAAGCAAAGAUGCCUAUGCAUUAUUGGUGGAAGGCUUUCUCUACUGCAGUAUACUUGAUAAAUAGGCUUCCAUCAUUUGUUACUCAAAAUGAGAGUCCCUACUGUUUGAUCCACAAGAAAGAGCCAGAUUACAAUUUCCUAAAGCCUUUUGGGUGUGCUUGUUAUCCCUGUCUCAAACCAUACAAUAAGCACAAGCUUCAAUUUCACACAACUAGGUGUGUGUUCUUGGGAUAUAGCGGUGCUCAUAAAGGAUACAAGUGUAUCAAUUCUCAUGGGAGAGUCUUCAUCUCAAGACAUGUAGUAUUCAAUGAAGAUCAUUUUCCCUUUCAUGAUGGAUUUCUUGACACAAGAAAUCCAUUGAAAACUCUAACUGAAAAUGCUACAACAUUAUUUCCCCUUUUUCCUGCAGGUACUGCUGUAACAAACACCACAAAUGAGCCAAUGGGAAAUGGAGAAAAUUCAACUUUUGAGAAUAAUUCAAGUGCAGACCAGUCAACAACAAUAGACAGGUUCAGUGAUGAUGGUGAUGAAUCAACUCAUGGGCUUGACGAUACUGGAAUAGAUAAAAAUGACGACUCAACUGAAACAAGUCAAAUGAGUACACAUAUUGAACCUGAAGUCAGAGCAACAGGUGAAGAAAGCAACACCAACACACACUGGAUGUGCACUAGAAGCAAAGAUGGAAUCCACAAACCAAAACAACCAUACAUUGGAAUGGUACAAGGCUGCACAGAUGACAAGGAACCCG